This 203-nucleotide ribosomal RNA is filed under the name Enterobacter asburiae. RNAcentral's name for it is "partial 16S ribosomal RNA". It matches the Rfam family "Bacterial small subunit ribosomal RNA", at positions 1 to 213 of the family's 1533-position model. The record is from RNAcentral. Lineage: Bacteria; Pseudomonadati; Pseudomonadota; Gammaproteobacteria; Enterobacterales; Enterobacteriaceae.
AAAUUGAAGAGUUUGAUCAUGGCUCAGAUUGAACGCUGGCGGCAGGCCUAACACAUGCAAGUCGAGCGGUAGCACAGGGAGCUUGCUCCUGGGUGACGAGCGGCGGACGGGUGAGUAAUGUCUGGGAAACUGCCUGAUGGAGGGGGAUAACUACUGGAAACGGUAGCUAAUACCGCAUAAUGUCGCAAGACCAAAGAGGGGGA